CCUACGGGGGGCAGCAGUGGGGAAUAUUGGACAAUGGGGGGAACCCUGAUCCAGCCAUGCCGCGUGUGUGAAGAAGGCCCUCGGGUUGUAAAGCACUUUCAGUGAGGAAGAACGCCUGGUGGUUAAUACCCAUCAGGAAAGACAUCACUCACAGAAGAGGCACCGGCUAACUCCGUGCCAGCAGCCGCGGUAAUACGGAGGGUGCGAGCGUUAAUCGGAAUUACUGGGCGUAAAGCGCGCGUAGGUGGCUUGAUAAGCCGGUUGUGAAAGCCCCGGGCUCAACCUGGGAACGGCAUCCGGAACUGUCAAGCUAGAGUGCAGGAGAGGAAGGUAGAAUUCCCGGUGUAGCGGUGAAAUGCGUAGAGAUCGGGAGGAAUACCAGUGGCGAAGGCGGCCUUCUGGACUGACACUGACACUGAGGUGCGAAAGCGUGGGUAGCAAACAGGAUUAGAUACCCCGGUAGUC
Molecule: ribosomal RNA, 465 nt
Filed under: Vreelandella stevensii
Lineage: Bacteria; Pseudomonadati; Pseudomonadota; Gammaproteobacteria; Oceanospirillales; Halomonadaceae
Description: partial 16S ribosomal RNA
Rfam family: Bacterial small subunit ribosomal RNA
Source: RNAcentral